CCGUUCGUAAGGUCACAUAUUGGCUUCCCGGACAGGGUCCCCAGUACCCUGGCCGUUUAUUCCCUAUCCGCCACCUGGGGACGCGCCCGGUAGGUAGCCCAAUCCACGGGUACGUCAGUUGUCAGUUUCUGUUUUAUUUUGAUCGUUAUAGUUUAUAUAGUGCUGAAAACACCACUAGAAGAAACUUAAACACUCUAAACAAAAUUCACAAUCAAGGGCUAAGGUUAAUAACAGCACGAGAAGAAGUAGACGAACAAACACUAAGAAGUCGACAGCAUGAGUCAGAAUUAAAAUAUAAGGGUUGUUACUGAGUGCUAUCCCAGACAAGGACAACCCCCCGUAUUGAGCUGCCCCAAUUGCGCCUGAACAGGAAGCAUCGGCCAAUAAAGAAGAGAGAGAGAGAGAGAGAAGUCCUGAAAAAUUUCCAUAAAAUACGUUGUAAGGAUGUACAAAAUAAAGCUGGAAAAUUAUUACUUGCACAAAUCCGAAUAUAAUUGAGUUAGAGAGAAUUGAAAA
Long non-coding RNA from Leptinotarsa decemlineata (Colorado potato beetle), 516 nucleotides. RefSeq lists it as uncharacterized. NCBI's taxonomy places the organism in Eukaryota, Metazoa, Arthropoda, Insecta, Coleoptera, Chrysomelidae. The record is from RefSeq and is a predicted model, not a curated record.